Nomascus leucogenys (northern white-cheeked gibbon) is the source of this 118-nucleotide small nuclear RNA. Its record names the gene U5. It matches the Rfam family "U5 spliceosomal RNA". From Rfam's summary of the family: U5 RNA is a component of both types of known spliceosome. The record is from Ensembl. NCBI's taxonomy places the organism in Eukaryota, Metazoa, Chordata, Mammalia, Primates, Hylobatidae.
AUACUCUGGUUUCUCUUCAGAUCAUAUAAAUCUCUCAACUUUUACUAAAGAUUUCUUUGGAGAGGAAUAAUUCUAAGUCUUAACCCAAUUUUUGGGGCCCUGCAUCUGCUAGUAAGAA